Molecule: ribosomal RNA, 411 nt
Filed under: bacterium enrichment culture clone ALO1_GLFRUDD03F4W58
Lineage: Bacteria
Description: bacterial SSU rRNA
Rfam family: Bacterial small subunit ribosomal RNA
Source: RNAcentral
GAGUUUGAUCGUGGCUCAGAUUGAACGCUGGCGGCAUGCCUUACACAUGCAAGUCGAACGGCAGCACGGGAGCUUGCUCCUGGUGGGCGAGUGGCGAACGGGUGAGUAAUGCAUCGGAACGUAUCCUGGAGUGGGGGAUAACGUAGCGAAAGUUACGCUAAUACCGCAUAUUCUGUGAGCAGGAAAGCGGGGGACCUUCGGGCCUCGCGCUCUUGGAGCGGCCGAUGUCGGAUUAGCUAGUUGGUGAGGUAAAGGCUCACCAAGGCGACGAUCCGUAGCAGGUCUGAGAGGAUGAUCUGCCACACUGGAACUGAGACACGGUCCAGACUCCCACGGGAGGCAGCAGUGGGAAUUUUGGACAAUGGGGGCAACCCUGAUCCAGCCAUGCCGCGUGAGUGAAGAAGGCCUCGG